AAAAUGGUCUUAUUCAAGACCAUUCCAGUGUUAACCAGAAGUGUCAU
Molecule: non-coding RNA, 47 nt
Organism: Bos taurus (domestic cattle)
Lineage: Eukaryota; Metazoa; Chordata; Mammalia; Artiodactyla; Bovidae
Source: Rfam